AUAUUAAUCAAAUAACAAUAUAUUAUUCUUUAUAUUAUUCUCAUAAUAUACUAAUAAUAAUUACUCUCUCUUAAUAAAUCAUCCUAUCAAGUUGCUAUGGUGAAGGCAACCCAAAAGGACCAUGCACAACCGGGUCAAAUACUUGCCUAAUAUAGUUGCAGCCUUAGACACUAUUCCAACAGUCUCCCACUUGGAUAAGUCUAGUAACUAUAUGCACUAGUACAAUUCAGUUUGCAAUCGUAGCUCUCAAAGACGCUGUCAAACUCUGAUCUAAUCAAUAUUGUCCUUUAGAUAAGGGAUCGUACAGUCCUCUGUUAGAUAUCAUGCUGACAAUCCUAUGGAAUGGUUAGUCAAGCAUUUAGGUUUCUCGAUCUCUGAUUUAUUUGACAUAGAACUUAAUCGAACACAUCAAUUCAGUUCUGACCGGGCCCGACACAUAAGUCAAAUCAAAUCAUCGAGCGGCCGAGAUAUCGCUUUUACCUUCUUAGAUAAAAGUUACAGAUAAACUUCGACUUAUAUGCAUUUACUUAUUCAUUAAUCAACUAUACACAAUAAUGCGUUUUAUAACAUUAAGUUACCAAUGCAUUUUCGCAUUAUCAAUGUACAAUCAAUUAACAAAUAACAAACCAUAUAUCUAGGUUUUAAGACUAUAUGAUAUUAUCGUCUUGCGAUCACCCUUUUAUAUCAUAUUCCAUAAGGUGAUUCCAGCAAGCGCGGGUUUGUUCCAAUGCUCAAAACUAGUUCAUAAGCACUCAUGAACGUUGCAGCAACCCUUUGCUAUGUCUAACACCAUUUAGACAAUCUACACACCAAUUCAUGACAAUCUUCAUUCAUAUCUACUUCCAACAUAUGAACGAUUGUGGACAAUUUGAACAAUUCGAUUAUUCCUAAUAAACUCAAUUAUUCUGGAAGUCAAAACAUGCAAAGUGAAACAAUAGCUAAACAAUUAACAUAAGAUAGUAACAUUACUCAUAAAUAAAACUCCUUUAUUUAAUCAUCAAAUGUUAAUUACAUUUAUCUAUUACACGUUUCUAAUACUAUCUAAUCUAUGCUAAUAUCAUCCUUCAGCCCAAUACUCCUAGCAUGCUGCAAGUGCUUAACCCUACUCAGUCCCUUCGUAAGCGGAUCUGCUGGGUUAUCUUCUGAUGAUAUCCUCUUCACUACGAGUUGUCCUUCUUCUACACGAUGUCUAAUGAAGUGAUAUUUUCUGUCGAUAUGUCUUGAUCUACCAUGAUCCCUCGGUUCCUUGGUCAAGGCAACCGCUCCUUCGUUAUCACAGAAAAUCUCCAUGGGCUCCUUUAUGGCAGGUACAACUCCAAGAUCACCGAUGAAGUUCUUUAGCCAUAUUGCCUCCUUCGACGCUUCGCUCGCUGCAAUGUACUCUGAUUCGCACGUUGAAUCAGCUACGGUUUCCUGCUUGGAACUCUUCCAUGUCACUGCUCCUCCAUUUAGGGUAAAGACCCAGCCCGACUGCGAACGGUAGUUGUCCCUGUCGGUCUGAAAACUGGCGUCACUAUACCCUCGCACCUUCAAGUCAUCACUCCCUCCGAGGACUAAGAACCAUUCCUUCGUCCUCCGAAGGUACUUAAGGAUAUUCUUCACCGCAAUCCAAUGUGCUUUGCCAGGAUUCCCUUGAUAUCUGCUAACCAUGCUCAAAGCGAAGGCUACAUCAGGGCGAGUACAAGUCAUAGCGUACAUGAUUGAGCCAACUGCGGAAGCGUAUGGUACUCGGCUCAUUUCUGCUAUCUCAGCUUCGGUACUCGGACUUUGAGUCUUACUCAAUUUGGCAUUACUUUGUAUCGGUAGUUCUCCCUUCUUUGAGUUUUCCAUACUAAAACGUUUUAGUACCUUCUCUAAGUAAGUAUUCUGACUAAGUCCAAUUAGUCUCUUACUUCUUUCUCUUACUAUCCUUAUUCCCAAAAUGUAAGAAGCCUCUCCGAGGUCCUUCAUAGCGAAGCACUUCCCGAGCCAGGACUUAACCUCCUGCAGAGUCGGGAUGUCGUUUCCUAUGAGUAAUAUGUCAUCGACAUAUAGAACGAGGAAGCUUACUAUACUCCCACUGGCUUUGACAUAUACACAAGAUUCGUCUUCGCUUCGUACAAAUCCAAACUCUUUGACUUUCUCAUCGAAGCAAAGAUUCCAUCUGCGAGACGCUUGCUUAAGUCCAUAAAUGGACUUCUCAAGCUUACACACUCUAUUCGGAUGCUUCGGAUCCACAAACCCCUCUGGCUGAGCCAUGUAAACAUCCUCAGCCAACUUUCCGUUAAGGAAAGCGGUCUUGACAUCCAUUUGCCAAAUCUCAUAAUCAUGAAAUGCGGCAAUAGCUAGCAUCACUCUAAUAGAUUUAAUCUUCGCAACUGGUGAGAAGGUCUCAUCAUAGUCAACUCCGGGAGUUUGAGUAAAGCCCUUCGCAACCAAUCGCGCUUUAUAUGUGUGUACGUUUCCAUCCACGUCGGUCUUCUUCUUGAAGAUCCAUUUGCACCCAACGGUCUUACGUCCGGGCACAUAAUCAACCAAAUUCCAAACUUGGUUAUCAUACAUGGAUUGGAUCUCGCUAUCCAUUGCCUCUUUCCAUUUUGCAGACUCCGGGCCUGCCAUGGCUUCCUUAUAGCUAUUAGGUUCAUCAAGAUUUACUAGUGUACCAUCACUAAUAUACGUGUCCCCUUCGGUAGUAAUAUGAAAGCCAUAAAACUGGGGAUGAACUCUAACUCUAUCGGAACGUCUAAGAGGUAAGGAUUCGUCAAUCGGUUCAACCGGAGUUUCCUCCUCGGGUUGAGUGCCAGCGGUAGAGGUUCCUUCAUCUAUCGACUCUUGAAUCUCUUCAAGUUCGAUUUGCCUCCCACUGUCUCCUUGGCUUAUGAGUUCUCGCUCUCGGAAAACUCCUCUCCUCGCAACGAAGACAACAUUGUCCUUCGGUCUAUAGAAGAGAUAUCCAAAGGAUGUCUGCGGGUAGCCGAUGAAAAUACAUCGCUCACUUCGAGGUUCAAGCUUGUCGUGAGUAUCUCGUCUUACGAAAGCCUCGCAACCCCAAACCUUGAUAUGUGCCAACGAGGGAGCUUUCCCUGUCCACAUCUCGUGAGGUGUUUUGGCAACCUUCUUAGUAGGGACUCGGUUAAGGAUAUGGGCGGCAGUCUCUAAGGCAUACCCCCAAAAAGAGAUUGGUAGUGAAGCACGACUCAUCAUAGAGCGAACCAUAUCCAAUAAGGUUCGAUUACGCCUUUCUGCCACACCAUUCAACUGCGGUGUCCUAGGAGGCGUCAAUUGUGAAACUAUUCCACACUCCUUGAGAUAAUCGUGGAAUUCAAGACUUAGGUACUCUCCUCCUCGAUCGGAUCGAAGCAUCUUGAUUUUCCUGCCCAAUUGAUUCUCCACUUCAUUCUUGAACUCUUUGAACUUUUCAAAGGUGUCUGACUUUUGCUUGAUUAAGUAGAUAUACCCAUAUCUACUAUAGUCAUCGGUAAAAGUCACAUAGAAGCGGUUCCCAUCCUUCGUGGUUGAUCUAAACGGUCCACAUACAUCGGUAUGUAUUAGGUCCAAUAGACCCUCGCCCCUUUCACAUGUACUCGUGAAGGGUGACUUAGUCAUCUUUCCAAGCAAACAAGACUCGCAUGUGUCAUCUUCCCUAAGGUCGAAUGACUCCAACACUCCAUCCUUUUGGAGUUGGGCUAUGCGUUUCUUGUUGACAUGUCCAAGACGACAAUGCCACAAGGAUGCUUUAUCCAUACUAGUGGAAGAAUCAAUAUUCAAAACAUCAUUUCCUAAGUUAUCAACAAUCAUAACGGUUUCAUAUAUUCCAUUACAUGGUAUAGCUUCAAAGUAAAAGACACCAUUUAGAUAAGCCAAAAUAGAACCAUUCUCAUUAUUAAAAGAAAAUCUAAAUCCUUGUCUAUAUAAACCAUGAAAUGAAAUGAUGUUUCUUGCCAUUUCUGGCGAAUAGCAACAAUUGUUCAAAUCUAAAACUAAACUAUUCCUAAGCACUAAGGAAUACACUCCAAUCUUGGUCACAGGCGACGAUCUUCUGUUCCCCAUGAUUAGAUUGAUCCUUCCUUGCUCCACAUCCCUACUUCUUCUUAGUCCCUGCACAUUAGAACAAAUGUGAUAACCACAACCGGUAUCAAGAACCCAAGAAAUAGCAUGAUUAGAAUCGUUAGAUUUGAUUGUAUAUAUACCUGCGAAAGAUGGCUUGAUCUUUCCUUCUUUGAUUGCUUGCAGGUAAUCCGGGCAGCUUCUCUUCCAAUGUCCUAUCUUGUGGCAGUGGUGGCACUCUGCCUCCUUCGGGUUAGAGCAGGGCUUAGCGGGAUCAACUUUGGUCCCACUAGAAGAGGCACCAUCUCGGGCUUUCACCUUGCGAUAGUUCUUCGAUGAAGCUUUCCUCUUCUUUCCCUUCCCUUGUCCAAUAGCCAAGACAGGAGCAGCGGGCGGAUUGGGAGUAGGUGCAACAGACUUGUCUUUGAAGUUGCUCUCAGCAACCCUCAAGAGACCUUGGAGCUUGCUUAGGGUGACCUCUUCUUUGUUCAUGUGGUAGGUCAUCCUAAAUUGGUUGUACAUCGGAGGCAAAGAGUGAAGCACCAUGUCGAUCGCCAAGUCUUCACCGAAGUCAACAUUUAACUUGCGAAGGCGGUCGACAUACCUUUGCAUCUUUUGCAAGUGCACGGUAAGAGAUUCUCCAUGACCCAUCUUCGCGGAAAUCAUGUUAGUGAAAAUCUCGUACCUCUCUUGUCUCGCGUUUUGGUGGUACCUCUCCAAUAAGUCUUGGUGCAUCUCGUACGGGUACAUGUCCUCGUAGGACUUUUGGAAUUCGGAGUUCAUGGUGGCGAUCAUGAUGCAAUGUACCUUCGUUGCAUCUCGCUCAUGAGUUUCAAAGGCGGUGAUUUCGGCGGGAGUAGCAAUUUCGGGGUUGAUUUUCUCGAGCUUCUCAUCGAGGACAUACUCCUUAUCCUCAUAGCGAGCAAUGGUGCGAAUGUAUCUUAUCCAUUCGCUAAAGUUCGUUCCAUCGAAGGUGACCUUUUGGCAAAGGCUCAUCAACGUGAAAGAACUAGCAGCAGCGUUGUUUGCGUUCGACAUCUACAAUUAGAAAAGGACAAAGAUAGAUUAGAAUAAGAAUCCCUAAUUAUCACCCAAUAAGAAAAUUAGGGCUAGGAUCCAACAAUAACAUUUACAUACUAGAAAAGGGAUGCCGUAAUCUAACAUGCAAAUAAAUUGAAGGUAAGUGAAUGACGAUUCACUAAUUCUCCAUCACAAAACUUAAACUAUUAGUCCUAAGUGUUUUUGAGAAUUCCUAGGUUCGGAUGAGAUUCAUUGAAACUAUUCAAUGGCAUGUUUAAAUCUCGAUAUGCCCCUCUUGUUUGUGACUGGGAUACCGAGGAUCACAAAGCGGGUGUGAAUUACCAUGCAAAUUCACAUGGUGCCUUCAUUGUAACGAUCACCUAUUCGAUGUGCCGGUAAACCACACACGCUCCAUCGAACUAUGAUAAACAAUGAAUCACCCUUUGCCACCUUCGCUUAGAACCAAUUAGUGUGCCGGUAAACCACACACGCUCCACUAACAUCUUAGCAAGGUGCAAAGUGUAAUUUCAUGGGAUUGCAUCAAUUCACUUUUCCUAAAGUAACUAGGAUUGGGAAAUUUUAAAAUAUGUGUAGUUACUUUGUAUUUCUUAUUAUACUUUUAAUGAGAGGAUGAGGUUGCCCUAUCCUACCCGUUCGGCUAACGACCCUCCACCAAUCAAGCAAGCGGUGGGUGUGAGUGUACACCCAUUAAGCGCCAUUUUAUAGGCCGCAACCUUAUACCCACCUUAUAGAUCGGCUUCGUGAAUGAGGCCUACUAACGGUAAGACUAGCAUUUAGUUAUACAUAUAUAUAUUAUUCUAGUAAUAUCAUAUUAGUAUAGGGUUGUAUUUUAAAACUUUUAAAAUCUAGGGUUUGAAAUUUAAGUUGUCUAAAUUAAAACUUUUAAUCACAAAAGUAAAUUUCAAAACAUGAGGGUAGGUUUUAAACAUUUAAAACAUGGAGGAUCAAAUAACAAAUAAUUCCAAUUAACAAUUAAUAUCCUAAUUAUCUAUAUUUGAUUUAUUCAAGAUUUCUUUUAAGAUAAUUACCAAAAUAAUUAAAAUAAUUAAUUAAUUAUCAUAUAAGGAAAUUAAAUAUUUAAUUAGUUGAUAAUUACCUUUAACUAGAUCAAGAUAAUAGUUAUAUUUAUCAGAAAAACGAAUUAAUGUUGAUCUAAUUAGUUUAUGGUAAGUUAAGAUAAGAUAAACACAAAGAAAUCCCGAAUCUGGCCAUUCCUGACGCCUGGACUCGCCGAGUGCACAAAUGGACUCGCCGAGUCAGGCCUACUCGCCGAGUCCACUUUGAGACUCGCCGAGUCCAUGACUCAGAAACCAAAAAUUCGAAUUUUGCAGGUUUGUUUCAGUUAAUCAAGCAACAAUUUAAAGAAAACCAAGCUAGGCUCUGAUACCACUGAUGGGUUUUAGCCAUAAGAACUUUCCUAUGUGCGCAUGCAAAACCCUAAUGCUUGGAUCUAGGCUUUCUAAUAAACAUGCUUUGAAUCCAAGACUUCUAAUGACUAAUUAGGUUAAAUAACAACAUUGAAACAGAUCUAGAAUCAUACCUUUGAGUUCCUUGUUGAUCUUGAGGUCUUGGAGCUUCUAGAGUCACAAAUGUCACUCCUCUAAUGGCUUACAAACACCAAAGCAAGGAGGAUGAUUUGGGAGAGAGGAGAGGGGAGGAAUUCGACCAGAGUUCUCUUGCUUUUUCAGAAGUGUCGAAUUCCCUAUGCCAUGGGGUCUAUUUAUACUUGUAGACUCCUUAAGGAUUACAGAUAAGUCCCUAUCAGAUAAUCUUCUCUUAAGGCUAUCCAAAUCCAUUCCUAGAUAACUCUAAUGGACGAUUUUAGCUAUCCUAAUCCUCUUAGAAUUCGUCCAUAGCAUAUCCAAAUGGAUUUACAGUCUAAAGCUUAACUAUCAAACAAUUGACAGUUUAUACCCCUUUAUUUAAUUAAUCUCUUUAAGUCACCAAAUUAAUUCUAAUUAAUUCUAUGACUUAUAUUAAUCAAAUAACAAAUAUAUUAUUCAUUAUAUUAUUCUCAUAAUAUAUUAAUAAUAUUUACUCUCUCUUAAUAAAUCAUCCUAUCAAGUUGCUAUGGUGAAGGCAACCCAAAAGGACCAUGCACAACCGGAUCAAAUACUUGCCUAAUAUAGUUACAGCCUUAGACACUAUUCCAACAGUCUCCCACUUGGAUAAGUCUAGUAACUAUACAAGUACAAUUCGGUUUGCAAUCGUAGCUCUCAAAGACGCUGUCAACUCUGAUCUAAUCAAUCUUGUCCUUUAGAUAAGGGAACGUACAGUCCUCUGUUAGAUAUCAUGCUGACAAUCCUAUGGAAUGGUUAGUCAAGCAUUUAGGUUUCUCGAUCUCUGAUUUAUUUGACAUAGAACUUAAUCGAACACAUCAAUUCAGUUCUGACCGGGCCCGGC
This 7470-nucleotide long non-coding RNA is filed under the name Lactuca sativa (garden lettuce). RNAcentral describes it as "long non-coding RNA (LSAT_LNC004110)". Lineage: Eukaryota; Viridiplantae; Streptophyta; Magnoliopsida; Asterales; Asteraceae. The record is from RNAcentral.